UACGAAGGGGGCUAGCGUUGUUCGGAAUUACUGGGCGUAAAGCGUGCGCAGGCGGCUUCUCAAGUCAGGGGUGAAAGCCCAGAGCUCAACUCUGGAAUUGCCUUUGAGACUGAGUGGCUUGAGUACGAGAGAGGUGAGUGGAAUUCCCAGUGUAGAGGUGAAAUUCGUAGAUAUUGGGAGGAACACCAGUGGCGAAGGCGGCUUCCUGGACCUGUUCUGACGCUGAGGAGCGAAAGCGUGGGGAGCGAUCCGG
This 253-nucleotide ribosomal RNA is filed under the name uncultured bacterium. Its description in RNAcentral is "partial 16S ribosomal RNA". It matches the Rfam family "Bacterial small subunit ribosomal RNA", at positions 524 to 776 of the family's 1533-position model. The record is from RNAcentral.